UAAGAGGUCCCGCCUGCCCUGUGACUAUUAGUUUAACGGCCGCGGUAUUUUGACCGUGCGAAGGUAGCGCAAUCACUUGUCUUUUAAAUGGAGACCUGUAUGAAUGGCACGACGAGGGCUUAGCUGUCUCCUUUUUCAGGUCAAUGAAAUUGAUCUCCCCGUGCAGAAGCGGGGAUAAAUACAUAAGACGAGAAGACCCUAUGGAGCUUUAGACACCAAGGCAGUUUAUGUUAAAUACCUUCUCACAAGAAGCCAAACAAAAUAAUCCCUGCCCUAAUGUCUUUGGUUGGGGCGACCGCGGGGAAACAAAAAACCCCCAUGUGGAAUGAGAACACCCUCUUACAGCUGAGAGCUCCCGCUCUAAUAAACAGAAUUUCUGACCAAUCAGAUCCGGCAACGCCGAUCAACGGACCGAGUUACCCUAGGGAUAACAGCGCAAUCCCCUUUUAGAGCCCAUAUCGACAAGGGGGUUUACGACCUCGAUGUUGGAUCAGGACAUCCUAAUGGUGCAGCCGCUAUUAAGGGUUCGUUUGUUCAACG
Molecule: ribosomal RNA, 540 nt
Filed under: Enoplosus armatus
Lineage: Eukaryota; Metazoa; Chordata; Actinopteri; Centrarchiformes; Enoplosidae
Description: partial 16S large subunit ribosomal RNA
Rfam family: Bacterial large subunit ribosomal RNA
Source: RNAcentral